UACGGAGGGGGCUAGCGUUGUUCGGAAUUACUGGGCGUAAAGCGCACGUAGGCGGCUUUGUAAGUUAGAGGUGAAAGCCCGGAGCUCAACUCCGGAAUUGCCUUUAAGACUGCAUCGCUAGAACGUUGGAGAGGUAAGUGGAAUUCCGAGUGUAGAGGUGAAAUUCGUAGAUAUUCGGAAGAACACCAGUGGCGAAGGCGACUUACUGGACAACUGUUGACGCUGAGGUGCGAAAGCGUGGGGAGCAAACAGGAUUAGAUACCCUAGUAGUCC
RNAcentral lists this ribosomal RNA (273 nucleotides) under uncultured bacterium. RNAcentral describes it as "partial 16S ribosomal RNA". It matches the Rfam family "Bacterial small subunit ribosomal RNA", at positions 524 to 796 of the family's 1533-position model. The record is from RNAcentral.